UGCUGUCCUGACACCUGUCCUGCCAACACUAUGAAGACUAUAGGAGCCUGGGAUGAUGGCAGUCUGGGUUUCCACUUGGCUGACAGAUACAUCCAAGCAUCAUUUGCUGGUGACAACCUACUGCAAAUGACUGUGAGCCCUGAACUUGCUGAAAGCUGAUAUGGACCAAUUCAGCCGAUAUGCAUACCAUCUCUUCAGCUGGUCAAUAAAACGUUCCCUCUUGUCUUUGA
Long non-coding RNA from Peromyscus eremicus (cactus mouse), 230 nucleotides. RefSeq lists it as uncharacterized. The record is from RefSeq and is a predicted model, not a curated record. The transcript is spliced from 2 exons. NCBI's taxonomy places the organism in Eukaryota, Metazoa, Chordata, Mammalia, Rodentia, Cricetidae.